ACCCGCACAAGCGGUGGAUGAUGUGGAUUAAUUCGAUGCAACGCGAAAACCUUACCUACCCUUGACAUGUCUGGAACCUCGCUGAGAGGCGAGGGUGCCUUCGGGAGCCAGAACACAGGUGCUGCAUGGCUGUCGUCAGCUUGUGUCGUGAGAUGUUGGGUUAAGUCCCGCAACGAGCGCAACCCUUGUCACUAGUUGCCAUCAUUUAGUUGGGCACUCUAGUGAGACUGCCGGUGACAAACCGGAGGAAGGUGGGGAUGACGUCAAGUCCUCAUGGCCCUUAUGGGUAGGGCUUCACACGUCAUACAAUGGUCGGUACAGAGGGUUGCCAAGCCGCGAGGUGGAGCCAAUCCCUUAAAGCCGAUCGUAGUCCGGAUCGUAGUCUGCAACUCGACUACGUGAAGUCGGAAUCGCUAGUAAUCGCGGAUCAGCAUGCCGCGGUGAAUACGUUCCCGGGCCUU
RNAcentral lists this ribosomal RNA (461 nucleotides) under uncultured Thauera sp. Its description in RNAcentral is "bacterial SSU rRNA". It matches the Rfam family "Bacterial small subunit ribosomal RNA", at positions 919 to 1382 of the family's 1533-position model. Lineage: Bacteria; Pseudomonadati; Pseudomonadota; Betaproteobacteria; Rhodocyclales; Zoogloeaceae. The record is from RNAcentral.